AUUGAACGCUGGCGGCAUGCCUUACACAUGCAAGUCGAACGGCAGCAUGAUCUAUCUUGCUGGAUUGAUGGCGAGUGGCGAACGGGUGAGUUAUACAUCGGAACGUUCCCUGUAGUGGGGGAUAACUAGCCGGAAGAUUAACUAAUACCGCAUACGACCUGAGGGUGAAAGUGGGGGACCGCAAGGCCUCACGCUAUAGGAUCGGUCGAUGUCUGAUUAGCUAGUUGGUGAGGUAAAGGCACACCAAGGCGACGAUCAGUAGCUGGUCUGAGAGGAUGAUCAGCCACACUGGAACUGAGACACGGUCCAGACUCCUACGGGAGGCAGCAGUGGGGAAUUUUGGACAAUGGGCGAAAGCCUGAUCCAGCAAUGCCGCGUGUGUGAAGAAGGCCUUCGGGUUGUAAAGCACUUUUGUCCGGAAAGAAAUGGAUCUAGUUAAUACCUGGGGUCGAUGACGGUACCGGAAGAAUAAGGACCGGCUAACUACGUG
This 490-nucleotide ribosomal RNA is filed under the name uncultured bacterium. RNAcentral's name for it is "partial 16S ribosomal RNA". It matches the Rfam family "Bacterial small subunit ribosomal RNA", at positions 30 to 507 of the family's 1533-position model. The record is from RNAcentral.